ACGCGGAAGAGGCCAAACCGGAGGUAGCAAUAUUUCCGGGGUUAGGACUGCAAUAUGUAGCUUUUAUUUCUAACUGAACGCUUUGGGAAGAGCGACGAUACAGGGUGAUAGUCCCGUAAGUGAAAGGAAUAGAGCGCUAGCAGUAUCCAGAGUACCAGCGGACACGUGAAACCCGCUGGGAAGAUGGGGGGACC
RNAcentral lists this ribosomal RNA (194 nucleotides) under Butyricicoccus sp. AF24-19AC. RNAcentral's name for it is "partial 23S ribosomal RNA". It matches the Rfam family "Bacterial large subunit ribosomal RNA", at positions 257 to 454 of the family's 2925-position model. Lineage: Bacteria; Bacillati; Bacillota; Clostridia; Eubacteriales; Butyricicoccaceae. The record is from RNAcentral.